AGAGUUUGAUCCUGGCUCAGAACGAACGCUGGCGGCGUGCCUAAUACAUGCAAGUCGAACGUGAAAGUACUUCGGUAUGAGUAAAGUGGCGCACGGGUGAGUAACACGUGGGUAAUCUGCCUUUUAGUGGGGAAUAACACAGGGAAACCUGUGCUAAUGCCGCAUAAGUAAGCAAUUAGAAAGAGGGCGUCCGCAAGGAGCUCUCGCUGAAAGAAGAGCCCGCGGUCUAUUAGCUAGUUGGUGGGGUAAGAGCCUACCAAGGCAACGAUAGAUAUCCGGUCUGAGAGGAUGAUCGGACACACUGGAACUGAGACACGGUCCAGACUCCUACGGGAGGCAGCAGCCAGGAAUCUUGGGCAAUGGGCGAAAGCCUGACCCAGCAACACCGUGUGGGUGAUGAAGGCCUUCGGGUCGUAAAGCCCUGUUGAUAGGGACGAAGGGCGAAGGGUUAAUAGCCCGGAGCUUGACGGUACCUUUCGAGGAAGCCCCGGCUAACUACGUGCCAGCAGCCGCGGUAAUACGUAGGGGGCGAGCGUUGUCCGGAAUUAUUGGGCGUAAAGAGCGUGUAGGCGGUUCGGUAAGUCUGUCGUGAAAUCCUGGGGCUCAACCCCGGGCGUGCAGCGGAUACUGCCGGGCUAGAGGGUGGUAGAGGCGAGUGGAAUUCCGAGUGUAGCGGUGAAAUGCGCAGAUAUUCGGAGGAACACCAGUAGCGAAGGCGGCUCGCUGGGCCACACCUGACGCUGAGACGCGAAAGCGUGGGGAGCGAACAGGAUUAGAUACCCCAGUAGUCC
Molecule: ribosomal RNA, 791 nt
Filed under: uncultured Rubrobacter sp.
Lineage: Bacteria; Bacillati; Actinomycetota; Rubrobacteria; Rubrobacterales; Rubrobacteraceae
Description: bacterial SSU rRNA
Rfam family: Bacterial small subunit ribosomal RNA
Source: RNAcentral